AACGAACGCUGGCGGCAUGCCUAACACAUGCAAGUCGAACGAGAUCUUCGGGUCUAGUGGCGCACGGGUGCGUAACGCGUGGGAAUCUGCCCUUUGGUUCGGAAUAACAGUUGGAAACGACUGCUAAUACCGGAUGAUGACGAAAGUCCAAAGAUUUAUCGCCAGAGGAUGAGCUCGCGUAGGAUUAGCUAGUUGGUGUGGUAAAGGCGCACCAAGGCGACGAUCCUUAGCUGGUCUGAGAGGAUGAUCAGCCACACUGGGACUGAGACACGGCCCAGACUCCUACGGGGGGCAGCAGUGGGGAAUAUUGGACAAUGGGCGAAAGCCUGAUCCAGCAAUGCCGCGUGAGUGAUGAAGGCCUUAGGGUUGUAAAGCUCUUUUACCCGGGAUGAUAAUGACAGUACCGGGAGAAUAAGCUCCGGCUAACUCCGUGCCAGCCGCCGCAGUAA
RNAcentral lists this ribosomal RNA (449 nucleotides) under uncultured bacterium. RNAcentral's name for it is "partial 16S ribosomal RNA". It matches the Rfam family "Bacterial small subunit ribosomal RNA", at positions 29 to 523 of the family's 1533-position model. The record is from RNAcentral.